Molecule: non-coding RNA, 48 nt
Filed under: Schistosoma mansoni
Lineage: Eukaryota; Metazoa; Platyhelminthes; Trematoda; Strigeidida; Schistosomatidae
Source: RNAcentral
AUCCAGCUGACGAGUACCAAAUAGGAGGAGACGCGUGUCAAAGUGGAU